AGCGAACGCUGGCGGCAGGCCUAACACAUGCAAGUCGAGCGCGCAGCAAUGGGAGCGGCAGACGGGUGAGUAACACGUGGGGAUCUACCCAAUGGUACGGAAUAACCCAGGGAAACUUGGAUUAAUACCGUAUGUGCCCUUCGGGGGAAAGAUUUAUCGCCAUUGGAUGAACCCGCGCCGGAUUAGCUAGUUGUUGAGGUAAAGGCUCACCAAGGCGACGAUCCGUAGCUGGUCUGAGAGGAUGUUCAGCCACACUGGGACUGAGACACGGCCCAGACUCCUACGGGAGGCAGCAGUGGGGAAUGUUGGACAAUGGGCGCAAGCCUGAUCCAGCCAUGCCGCGUGAGUGAUGAAGGCCUUAGGGUUGUAAAGCUCUUUCGCCGGUGAAGAUAAUGACGGUAACCGGAGAAGAAGCCCCGGCUAACUUCGUGCCAGCCGCCGCCGUAA
Molecule: ribosomal RNA, 447 nt
Filed under: uncultured bacterium
Lineage: Bacteria
Description: partial 16S ribosomal RNA
Rfam family: Bacterial small subunit ribosomal RNA
Source: RNAcentral